Molecule: unclassified non-coding RNA, 274 nt
Filed under: uncultured fungus
Lineage: Eukaryota; Fungi
Description: partial contains 5.8S ribosomal RNA, internal transcribed spacer 2, and large subunit ribosomal RNA
Source: RNAcentral
AACGCACAUUGCGCCUCUCGGUAUUCCGGGAGGCACGCCUGUUCGAGCGCCAUUACACACUCCAAGCUUUGCUUGAUGUUGGACGAUGCGGGACCCCGCUCCGGGGUGACCGCCCGUCUGGAACGUGUGGGCGUCCGCCGGCGGGCCAGGAGCGUAGCAAGACUAUCUAGUCAUUUCGCUCUGUUGGGCUCCGACGGUGGGCAGCCGAAGUAGACUUCUUGAAGUCAAAUCAAAGUUUGGCCUCGGAUCAGGCGGGGAUACCCGCUGAACUUAA